RNAcentral lists this unclassified non-coding RNA (366 nucleotides) under fungal sp. Its description in RNAcentral is "partial internal transcribed spacer region". The stretch from base 1 to 46 matches the Rfam family "Eukaryotic small subunit ribosomal RNA", at positions 1786 to 1831 of the family's 1831-position model. Lineage: Eukaryota; Fungi. The record is from RNAcentral.
AAGUCGUAACAAGGUUUCCGUAGGUGAACCUGCGGAAGGAUCAUUACCACGUAUCCACGUACCCACCCAACCGUGCAUUUGUACCUCCUCAUUGUUCGUACUGAUUAUCGAGAAGAAGGAAAGAAGCUUUUGCUUUGGACUGACUUUUCUGAUUGGACAGUGAGCUAUCUACUAAUACAUACACUAUACUUCACUUUUUAAAAACAACCUAUCAAAGGUGAGAAAGGGAACUCGUUCCUUUUUUUCUUCUUUGUUUUGCAAGUUGGCUUACUCAUGUGAUGUCACUCUAACCAGUGUCAUUUCAUAUUUCUAUUGUAACCGAUAGAUUGUAAUGUACAACUCUUAGCAAUGGAUAUCUUGGCUCUC